CCUUUGUCGUUUUUGAAUGUAGAAGCGGGGUGUCGUUCCCCUAUCUCAUUUUGAUAAGGUAGAGGGGGAGAGCUCCAGCGGCGGAGGAGGCGGAGGCGAUUGCUUCAGUUCAUGGCGAUUCUGAGCUCAUCCACCGCAGGAUUUUGAUUUCUUCUCCCUCUUCUCUUCGUUCGCCGGCUGCCCUGGUAGUAUCUCAAUGGGUAGAGUGCGGAAAGUCUGUCGCAAGGAUGUUCCCCUAGUUUCUUCAGUCGAGAGUACUGAUUCUUUGAAAGACCCUUAUGUGCCUAAUGAUUUUGCUGAUGAUGGUUCUAAUGCUAUGUCUUUGGGUUGUUCUGGUGAUGAUGAAGAGUUUGAUAAAGCACUUUACAAUUUCUAUGUGAAUAAUAAAGUCAAGUACCUAAGGAGAAAAUUAUCAUCUGCUGGCAGAAGGAAUGUUGAACUUUUCAAUGUCAUCUUCAUCAAGAAAUGAAUCAUCUUCUCCAAGGAAGGCAUUGCUUUCAGGGCCACCUCCCAAGGAUUAGCUUCCGCUGCUACCUCUUGGUUUGCUCGAUCGUCUUCAUGCAUUUCUUGCCAUGUCUGUUGAGUCCUCCUGCUGAGUGUACCUGCAAGCAACAAGAUAGUUUUUGUUUUGUCCUCUUGCUGUUUCAAAUUCAGUCUCUCAAAACAGAGUGACCAAAAGCAGAGUGCAACAGAGGAUUUGAAGAUUUUUCAUGUACCUGUGGAUGAUCUUUUUGUGACCCCCAAGUGCUUGCUUGUGUUCUUCCUCCAGGUGCUUUUGACAGGUCAGGGAAAGGACAAUAGAAGCGACCGGUUCAACCUUUUCUCGCUGUUAGUCGCUUGACGGGUCACAUGAACAGCCCGACCCAUUUUCUUCAGGAAAAACAGACAUACAACUGUCAACAGUUUAUUUUGUAUACGAUGAACUUUUUUAAUUAUACACAAUGAAGAUAUCAUUAAGUACACUAAA
RNA transcript from Aegilops tauschii subsp. strangulata, 967 nucleotides. RefSeq lists it as uncharacterized. Lineage: Eukaryota; Viridiplantae; Streptophyta; Magnoliopsida; Poales; Poaceae. The record is from RefSeq and is a predicted model, not a curated record.